AGCAGUAGCCACGGUAACACGGAGGGUGCAAGCGUUAAUCGGAAUUACUGGGCGUAAAGCGCACGCAGGCGGUCUGUCAAGUCGGAUGUGAAAUCCCCGGGCUCAACCUGGGAACUGCAUUCGAAACUGGCAGGCUAGAGUCUUGUAGAGGGGGGUAGAAUUCCAGGUGUAGCGGUGAAAUGCGUAGAGAUCUGGAGGAAUACCGGUGGCGAAGGCGGCCCCCUGGACAAAGACUGACGCUCAGGUGCGAAAGCGUGGGGAGCAAACAGGAUUAGAUACCCGGGUAGUCCCUGUCUCUUAUAC
This 303-nucleotide ribosomal RNA is filed under the name uncultured bacterium. Its description in RNAcentral is "partial 16S ribosomal RNA". It matches the Rfam family "Bacterial small subunit ribosomal RNA", at positions 507 to 807 of the family's 1533-position model. The record is from RNAcentral.